RNAcentral lists this ribosomal RNA (245 nucleotides) under uncultured bacterium. RNAcentral describes it as "partial 16S ribosomal RNA". It matches the Rfam family "Bacterial small subunit ribosomal RNA", at positions 89 to 334 of the family's 1533-position model. The record is from RNAcentral.
UACCUAGUGGCGGACGGGUGAGUAACGCGUGGAUAACCUGCCUUAUACAGGGGGAUAACGGAGAGAAAUUUCCGCUAAGACCGCAUAAGACCACAGCACCGCAUGGUGCAGGGGUAAAAUAUUUAUAGGUAUAAGAUGGAUCCGCGUCCGAUUAGCUAGUUGGUGAGGUAAAGGCCCACCAAGGCGACGAUCGGUAGCCGGCCUGAGAGGGUGAACGGCCACAUUGGGACUGAGACACGGCCCAA